This 115-nucleotide non-coding RNA is filed under the name Clostridiaceae bacterium. RNAcentral describes it as "MoCo sequence". It matches the Rfam family "Molybdenum/Tungsten riboswitch aptamer (Moco RNA motif)". Lineage: Bacteria; Bacillati; Bacillota; Clostridia; Eubacteriales; Clostridiaceae. The record is from RNAcentral.
UAAUAUUUUGCUCACCGAGCCUACUACCUAAGUCUUGGGAUAUGGUGUCAGGCCAACGGGUACAAAAGGAAACUUUUGUGCCUCCCUAUUGGAAAGGAGGGCUAUUACGUGCUAU